Molecule: ribosomal RNA, 937 nt
Filed under: Streptococcus thoraltensis
Lineage: Bacteria; Bacillati; Bacillota; Bacilli; Lactobacillales; Streptococcaceae
Description: bacterial SSU rRNA
Rfam family: Bacterial small subunit ribosomal RNA
Source: RNAcentral
AUUGGAAACGAUAGCUAAUACCGCAUAAAAGGAGCUAACCCAUGUUAGCUUUAAAAAAGGUGCAACAGCAUCACUUAAAGAUGGACCUGCGUUGUAUUAGCUAGUUGGUAAGGUAACGGCUUACCAAGGCUUCGAUACAUAGCCGACCUGAGAGGGUGAUCGGCCACACUGGGACUGAGACACGGCCCAGACUCCUACGGGAGGCAGCAGUAGGGAAUCUUCGGCAAUGGGGGGAACCCUGACCGAGCAACGCCGCGUGAGUGAAGAAGGUUUUCGGAUCGUAAAGCUCUGUUAUAAGCGAAGAACAGGAGUAAGAGUGGAAAGUUUACUCUAUGACGGUAGCUUAUCAGAAAGGGACGGCUAACUACGUGCCAGCAGCCGCGGUAAUACGUAGGUCCCGAGCGUUGUCCGGAUUUAUUGGGCGUAAAGCGAGCGCAGGUGGUUUAAUAAGUCUGAAGUUAAAGGCAGUGGCCCAACCAUUGUACGCUUUGGAAACUGUUAAACUUGAGUGCAGAAGGGGAGAGUGGAAUUCCAUGUGUAGCGGUGAAAUGCGUAGAUAUAUGGAGGAACACCGGUGGCGAAAGCGGCUCUCUGGUCUGUAACUGACACUGAGGCUCGAAAGCGUGGGUAGCGAACAGGAUUAGAUACCCUGGUAGUCCACGCCGUAAACGAUGAGUGCUAGGUGUUGGGUCCUUUCCGGGACUCAGUGCCGCAGCUAACGCAUUAAGCACUCCGCCUGGGGAGUACGACCGCAAGGUUGAAACUCAAAGGAAUUGACGGGGGCCCGCACAAGCGGGGGAGCAUGUGGUUUAAUUCGAAGCAACGCGAAGAACCUUACCAGGUCUUGACAUCCCGGUGCCGGUUCUAGAGAUAGAACUUUUCUUAGGAACACUGGAGACAGGUGGUGCAUGGUUGUCGUCAGCUCGUGUCGUGAGAU